AUGAAAUAUUUUUUUCCUUCCCUCUUUCAGAGAACCUCAGCCAGCAAGUCUUCGAGUGCUCCUUCCUAUAGCAGAUGGUCCAGUCCACAGCCACAUCAGACUCCAAUAAGAAGAUACCUUGGGCUGCUUUCAGUGUUGGUGGGAGUACGACAGGAGAUACAUCUGUUCCUGUCCUUAUAUGAUGGAUUAUUAGAGGAUGAGAGUGAAGACUUGACUUCAUAGUUGUGUUUCUGGAUGUCCAGGAGGUACCACAAUGCCUCACACUAAGUUGGUGAUUGACAGCAAUUCCAAGAGGAAUAAUACAUUAAUGAGGUCAAGAAGGUCUGAAGUUAAUGUGGAAGCUGGACCAUCUACCUGGAUAUUGACUGGGCCAGUGUGACAGCCAGUGUGGAUGCUCAAUUAUCUUCAUGGACACCCUGGAAAUGGCCAGAGUAGAUGCUGGGAGGAAGCAUGGGUACAAGUGCUCAAGGCUCUGUGAGAGUAGUAGCAUGCCUGGAAAGUAUGUAGGUGAGGAAAACAAGAUGCAAGCGUCAAAGUAAAAGAAAUUUUUAUGUGGUGGGGAACAAGUAGCGAUCAGGAAAAAAAGAAUUUAGAGAACAAAUACUGUGAAAUAAAGGAGCAACUCUGAACUGAAGAAUGAUAAGGGAAACAGUAUGUGAGUGAAAAACUGACCAUUGAGGCACAGAAAAAUCACCAUGAAAAGGAAGUGAGUGUAUUAGGAAAUAUGUUCAUAAUACCGCUAGGGUUCUAAGGAAGUGUAUUAGUGAUUCAAAGGGAAGCAUCUCAAAACAGAAUAAGAAUGAUCAUAUAGGCUAUGGAAGGUGAGGUGACUGCAGGUGAAGAAAAACUGUCAUAUUGCGUGGUUUUACUUUUCUCCAUGUAGAACUUCCACAAAUUAAAAUACUUAAUUGCCUUCCAAAUAAUACAGUUUGUUCUCAGAGAAGAAAGAUGCUUUUUGAAAGAUGCAGUAAUCUUUUGGGUCAAAUAUAAGCAAAUAACAACUCCUUACUCAUAAAGCAGACUGGUAGACAUUAAAAUUUUCAGAAUCAUUUUGGUAAGUAAAAAGAACAUAAAAUUUCACCUUGGUUUGCAUAAACAGUCACUGGGAAAUCAUUAUAUAAAUUAUUUAUAUGCCAACUCAUGGGUGCCAUGCACUAUAGUUAAUAAUACUAUUUGUCAAAACAGCUCAUUUGUAAAAACCAUUUCAUAAAAUGAAAAGGUAGAACAUUUUAUAUUAGAUGCUUACUGCAGAUAAGAAAGAGAAAAUAGAAUCCAUUUCCCCUAAUAUAUGUUUCACAUAACCAUAAAAAUAAUUUUCACAUGACAAGUACUAUAUGGUGAUCCCUGAAAGGAUCAAACAAAGUAUAGGUCACUCGAACUUGUCCUGCAUAUUUAUGUAAUUAUUCCAAAAUGAGGAUUAAUCUGAGGUUUCUUGGAAAAAUAUUUGAGCAUACAAGAGAGAAACAUUAUGGUUGCAUGAACUGGUGUUUCAAAUAUCUUCUCUCAAAUUCCAUUUGAUUCUAUUUUCUGCAGUACUGUUCUGCAUAACAUUGUUUGAAAAUGCACAGGAGUCAUAGAUCCAGAUUCAUGGUCCCUGCAGUCAUGAUGCAUGUUUCUACCUGAUAGGUGGUCUCAUUUUAUAUGAAUUUGCAGUUGGAUCUGAGUGAGGUUGAAAUGAGACAGUCACAGGAAUAGUUCUGAGAUGUGAGUCUGAAGACAAAAAUUAUGUUUUUCUCUAAGUAAAAAAAAAAAAAAAAAAGUUUCCAAAUCAGCCUUAAAGCAGGAUUUAACCAUUAGUCAUAUCAUUUUUGUGUGUGUAUAUAAAAACUUACUCAAGUAUGUUAAUAAAAGUAAAUUGGUGGUUUAAUUAGAGCUUUGAAUCUGGAAGAUCAUUGUCACAAGGGUCUAGUUUAUUAUAAUAACUAAUUGAAUGAAAUAAGAGAAUAAGUGAGUGAAUGUUUCUGUGGAUACACAGAGUUGAUAUUAACAAGGAUACAGCUUUCAUUCAUUCUGGAUGUAGAAGCUCUUAGAGAAAAAUAAACACUCAAAGGUUCUUACAGCAUCUUCCUUUCCAAUAGUAACGACAUUUCCUACUUCUCAGUGGAGGGAGGUUUUGGUGUAAUUACCCAUCUCUGUUUCCCUGAGGAGACCUUAAACUUUGAGAAAAGUGCAUGCCAAUGUUGCCGGUUAAGUGGCCUUCCCCAGAGACCUCUUCUAGUUCAACUGUGAAGUUGAUAAAACUAGGAGAAAAACUGAGGAAGCGCACCAACUGCUGAACAAAGUGGCCUCCUCUGGAGAUUACCCUGGAUGUGGUUGGUUUGAAUGCCAUGAUAAGGCAUCUUGCUCUUCAGAGAUAAUAGUUUUGAGGUGUUUAAACAAUUAUGUACUUACUUUGUGAAAAUAUUUAUACCAUUUUAAUGAUAUAAUUUUCUGUAAGCUUUCUAAUGAGCCCUCAAGUGACCUCAGUAAAACAAGACUGUGCUUGGCAAAAGCAAUUUCCAAGGAGACCAUUUUUAAUUGCUUAAAAUUUCAAACUGAUGGUGUUAGCAGCUGCUUGCUGGAAUGGGUAGGCUCCUCCCUCAUACAAGUCCUGAUGAGCACAUUUAUUUAAUACAGUAACAGUUACCAUAAGCUGGAGUCUGAGAGAGGUUAAAUGCUGUAGGGGUCUCCAGAGUUAUUUGGUUACCUAUUCUGUAUCAGGCAAAGGAAUUCACACUCCAGAAAUUCAAAUCCUUCUUUGCUUUGUUAAGUGAUGGAAUAAUCUGAUGAAAUACUCCAAAUACAGUGAUCCAAUCCUUAAUUUUUUUAACCUAUUUCAUGAAACUGCUACUAAUUCUCAAUGUAGUAUAUAUAUCAGU
RNAcentral lists this long non-coding RNA (2858 nucleotides) under Canis lupus familiaris (dog). Its description in RNAcentral is "lncRNA (ENSCAFG00040010762.1)". The record is from RNAcentral. Lineage: Eukaryota; Metazoa; Chordata; Mammalia; Carnivora; Canidae.